This 1683-nucleotide ribosomal RNA is filed under the name Triticum aestivum (bread wheat). Its description in RNAcentral is "partial small subunit ribosomal RNA". The record is from RNAcentral. Lineage: Eukaryota; Viridiplantae; Streptophyta; Magnoliopsida; Poales; Poaceae.
AUGGCCGGCGGCGAAGGCGCGGAGGGGGCGCGGGCGCUGGACCAGACGCCGACGUGGGCCGUGGUCGCCGUCUGCGCCGUCAUCGUCGCCGUCUCCAUCCUCCUCGAGGGCAUCCUCCACCACCUCGGCCAGUGGUUCAGCAAGAGGAAGAAGAAGGCGCUGUUCGACGCCCUGGAGAAGGUUAAAUCCGAGCUCAUGACUCUGGGCUUCAUCUCGCUGCUGCUGACUGUCACGGCGAGGUACAUAUCGCGCAUCUGCAUCCCGGCGGGGGCCGCCCACACCAUGCUGCCCUGCAAGCUCUCCAGGAGCUCGGAACACGGAGAGGGCCACGGCCGACGGCACCUGUCUGAAGAGCCGGCCAACUUCUCAUGCCCCAAAGGUAUGGUGUCACUCGUUUCAACCGAUGGGUUACACCAGCUACAUAUCUUUGUGUUCUUCCUGGCUGUCUUCCAUGUAACGUUCAGCGCUAUUACAAUGUCCCUGGGCAGAGCAAAGACUCGGAUAUGGAAGGAGUGGGAAAAGGACACUUCCUCCAUCACCUAUGAAUUUUCAGCCGACCCAUCGAAAUUCCGGCUCACUCACCAGACUUCUUUCGUGAGGCAGCACGCAAGCUGUUGGAGCAAAAGCACAAUUAUGCUCUAUGUCGUGAGCUUCUUUAGGCAGUUUUUCAGAUCUGUUCGGAGGACAGACUACCUGACUUUGCGGCACGGAUUCAUUGCUGCUCAUUUAUCCCCAGGGACUAGGUUCAAUUUUCAAAAGUACAUCAAGAGAUCUUUGCAGGAUGAUUUCAAGACAGUUGUCGGCAUUAGUCCACCUUUAUGGGCCUCUGCUCUGGCUGUUAUGCUCUUCAAUGUUCAUGGGUGGCAUAACUUGUUCUGGUUCUCCACAAUUCCCCUUGUAGUGAUUUUAGCUAUUGGAACAAAGCUGCAAGCUAUAAUUGCAAGGAUGGCUGUUGAAAUUACAGAAAAGCACACAGUUAUUCAAGGAAUGCCAGUGGUGAAACUCAGCGAUGAACAUUUUUGGUUCGGAAAGCCUCAUAUGGUUCUUCACCUUAUCCAUUUUGCAUUAUUCCAGAAUGCAUUUGAAAUUACUUAUUUCUUCUGGAUUUGGUACGAAUUCGGCUUGAGGUCCUGCUUCCAUGACAACUUUGAGUUUAUCAUUGCAAGAGUCUGCCUCGGGGGUGUCGUCCAAUUUGUGUGCAGCUAUAUCACGCUUCCACUCCAUGCCCUUGUAUCUCAGAUGGGAUCUUCGAUGAAGAGAACCAUCUUCGACGAGCAGACGUCGAAGGCCCUGAAGAAGUGGCACAAGACGGUGAAGAAGAAGCAGCAGCAGCAACAGCAGCAGAAGGGGUCAUCGCAUGCCUCCUCAGAGACGCCAACCACGGACACGCCCGAGGCAGGCCGGCUUAGCCAGUGCCAGUUCGUCGCCGAGGCGGCGCCGGUGGCAAACCGGCACCUCCACCGCUACAAGACCAUAGCGCACGUCGGCGCCACCAGGGCGCUCUCCGACUCGGACUGCUCCGACACGGAUGCCGAGGCGCAGACGAGGUACCUGAUCCCGCCCACGAAGCAGAGGAGCCUGGACUCGGAGGUCCGUGUGGACGUGGACGCGGCGACGCCGGAUCACCGUGAUAGUUUCUCCUUUCAGAAGCCGCCGCCUGCUCAGAAUGCGAUGGAGAAAUGA